UUUUUAGGAAAUACAGGAUUCGAGGUGACCUGCGGAAGGGAUCAUUACCAAUGCAGCGAGAAAUCGCUUACCAACCACCUGCUGGCGGGCCUCAUGGGCUGCCAACUGGUCAACCCUUUGUGAACCAAAAAACCUUUCGCUUCGGCAGCUGGGCUCCCUAACCGGGCCUGUCAGCCUGCCGCUAGCACCCAACCAAAAACCUGUUGUCAAACAUUGUCUGAUAACCAAAAUUUUCGAAUGAAAAUCAAAACUUUCAACAACGGAUCUCUUGGUUCCCGCAUCGAUGAAGAACGCAGCGAAACGCGAUAGUUAAUGUGAAUUGCAGAAUUCAGUGAAUCAUCGAGUCUUUGAACGCACAUUGCGCCCAUUGGUAUUCCUUUGGGCAUGUCUGUUUGAGCGUCAUUACAACCCCUCAGCUACCGCUGGUUUUGAAUUGGAACGGGUAACACCGCGCCGGUUUUAAAGUUGUAAGCUCUGCUGGCCGCUCUGCCCCAACCAGAACAUAGUAAGCAACUACUUGUUAGGGUGAAGCUGAACGGUACGGCCUGAACAAAACCUACCCUUCUCAAGGUUUGACCUCAGAUCAGACAAGGAUACCCGCUGAACUUAAGCAUAUCAAUAAGCGGAGGAAAAGAAACCAACAGGGAUUGCCUCAGUAACGGCGAGUGAAGCGGCAACAGCUCAAAUUUGAAAUCUGGAGUCUUUCGGCUUCCGAGUUGUAAUUUGAAGAGGAUGUUUCGGUGCGACCUGGGCCUAAGUUCCUUGGAACAGGACGUCAUGGAGGGUGAGAAUCCCGUACAUGGCUGCAGGUUUGCUUCUAUGUGAAACUCCUUCGAAGAGUCGAGUUGUUUUGGGAAUGCAGCUCAAAAUGGGUGGUAAAUUUCAUCUAAAGCUAAAUAUUUGGCGGGGAGACCGAUAGCGCACAAGUAGAGUGAUCGAAAGAUGAAAAGCACUUUGAAAAGAGAGUUAAACAGUACGUGAAAUUGUUUGAAAGGGAAGCGCUUGCAAUCAGACUCGCCUUCAGUUGAUCAGCCUUCCUUCUGGUUGGUGCACUCUGCUGUUGGGCGGGCCAGCAUCAGUUGGGGCGGUGGGACAAAGGCAGCAGGAAUGUGGCUCGCUUCGAUGAGUGUUAUAGCCUGCUGUGUCAUGCCACCAGUUCCCGACUGAGGUCCGCGGUUCGCCUAGGAUGCUGCUUAGGGUUAACCCCCUUAAAGGAAA
This 1218-nucleotide ribosomal RNA is filed under the name Ascomycota sp. L284. RNAcentral describes it as "eukaryotic LSU rRNA". The stretch from base 574 to 1218 matches the Rfam family "Eukaryotic large subunit ribosomal RNA", at positions 1 to 634 of the family's 3401-position model. The record is from RNAcentral. Lineage: Eukaryota; Fungi; Ascomycota.